UGUUAGAAUAUGUGAGCAGGAUGCGCAGACCAACAUCAUGUCGUUUCACUUUGCUAAAAAGAAAGCAAACGUUUUUUGCCAAUUAUAUAGAAACAAAUCUGUGAAAUUAAUUCAGAUAAAAAUAAUCCAGAAUUUCCAUGACAUCUGAACUGUGCUUGUCAUUUGACUCUGUCACUUAGCUAAAACAAAACAAAGAAGACUGGGCUUUGAGGCUCAAAGUAUACAAAGCUAAUUGAAGGUGUAAAAAUGAAAUAAGACAGAAUAUCAAAAUUGUGUCGUUGGGGGACGUGAACUGUACGUGCAGACUAACAUCAACGUCAUGACAUGUGACUGCUUCACUUUACCAAAAAGAAAAACGACAACAUUUGUGUCAAAAAAUAUGAACCUCGAAAGAAGUGUAACAAAACUUUGAUGGAAGAGCUUUUAAAACUAACUUGUCGAGCUUGUGUGAACAGCGCGUCAAGUUGUCAUGUUGCGUGACCGCUUUACUUCACCAAAAAGAGAAUAAUGUCAACAUAAGGUAAAGAAUCUCAGCUGUGCUUGUCGUGUUCAUUAUAUGUACACAAGUAGAAAGUUCUUUGCGCAUGCAGGUACAUUUCAUCUUAAAUUACGGCGUUACCGUAACAGCUGACAAAAGUGUCUCUGAUGUUUAAUCGGGGGGUAAAAAUGUCAAACGCCGUCCUCGUCCCUUCUUCGGUGUUUAUGGCUAAAAAUGUCUUGACACGCACACGUGACAAAAACAGGACAACGGGACCACAGAGGUGUGCGUGCGUGUGUGUGUACAUUAAAGACACAAAGGUUCUGUAAUGUCUCCCCAAAAGUUCAGGAUGGGGGACUUCUGUGCUGCAAAGUCUGGAGAUGUGCUUGCUGUUGCCACGGCGACCAAGCGCUUAUAUCCCAUCACAGUGUCAGGUGGCAGAGCCGGUCCAAGCCUCCAUCGGGCAACAUUUGAUUCGACUUUGGUCCAUGCACUAGUAUGCUUUGUACUCACUAGUAAGACGAUUCAGCGCAGUAGUAAAACAAACUUGUCGUGCUAUUCACGUUUUUUUUCCAUACUAAAAGUGCCAGAUGUCAACUAGUAGAAUAUUUUGUGAUGAGUACUACUACUACCAGUAGUGGUAAGAAAGUUGUUUUCCAAGUGGACUGAGUUGUUUUGGCAACAGAGAGUGUACUAGUACAUGGACCUUGAGCUCAAACGGCUUUCAUUGGGCCCUCGAUUUCUGCCAAUAAUGUUGAUUCUUGAUCAUUCGUUGUUGAUUUUUGAACAAAUACAUAGAACUGAACUGAGGUACCUGGAAUAAGGUGAAAAAGCACACACACACACACACACACACACACACACACACACACACACACACACACACACACACACACACACUCUUCCUUAGAGCAUAUGAGAUGUGCAUUAACAUACCCGGAACACACACUACAAUUAAAAAACACACACACUCACACACAGGGGGUACACAAACAUGCACAUGAAAUAUGGAUGCACAAAAUAGAAAUAAUUCGCUGCUAAAGCUCGGUAAAAAUGUGCAAAAGCUUUAGUUAAAGAAACACUGUAAAUAAAACCUGAUCUAAACAAUCUUUUUUAUGUUACUCUGUUCCUCCCCAAUAAUGCC
Molecule: long non-coding RNA, 1622 nt
Organism: Hippocampus comes (tiger tail seahorse)
Lineage: Eukaryota; Metazoa; Chordata; Actinopteri; Syngnathiformes; Syngnathidae
Exons: 2
Source: RefSeq, a predicted model, not a curated record